Molecule: ribosomal RNA, 482 nt
Filed under: Kengyilia alatavica
Lineage: Eukaryota; Viridiplantae; Streptophyta; Magnoliopsida; Poales; Poaceae
Source: RNAcentral
GGAUCCCAUCAGAACUCCGAAGUUAAGCGUGCUUGGGCGAGAGUAGUACUAGGAUGGGUGACCUCCUGGGAAGUCCUGGUGUUGCAUUCCCUUUUUUAAUUUUUUUUGCGCGUCGUGAAAACGAUAACGCACGUGCGUGAUAUAUAUGAAACCCGUUUUCUUAUCUUUGACGUUUGGGAUAUGUUUUAGCUUGCUGCUCAUUAUUCACGCGUCCCGGGGCGGCGUUGCGGCAAAAGCGCGUUCUCAAAGGGGUGGAAAAUACUUGUUGCUGCGGUAGAGAGGGAGGGGUGGAAACCGUGGUAAACUCGCCGCCGUAGUUGAGCGGGAGAGUAAGGAGCACAGUGCAUUAUCCAUUAUUAGGCAACGGUUGUAAUGGUAGUAAGAAUGUACAACCGUCUUUGUAGUGAACCAGGGAGGGGCAAGCAUAAGGGACGAAGGCGGGAGUAACAUGCCGGAUGCAAUCAUACCAGCACUAAAGCACC